RNAcentral lists this ribosomal RNA (389 nucleotides) under Skeletonema sp. RNAcentral describes it as "partial small subunit ribosomal RNA". It matches the Rfam family "Eukaryotic small subunit ribosomal RNA", at positions 583 to 975 of the family's 1831-position model. Lineage: Eukaryota; Bacillariophyta; Thalassiosirophyceae; Thalassiosirales; Thalassiosiraceae. The record is from RNAcentral.
UUCCAGCUCCAAUAGCGUAUAUUAAAGUUGUUGCAGUUAAAAAGCUCGUAGUUGGAUUUCUGGCAGGAGUGACCGACCACAAACUCUGUUUGUGAGUUGUGUCAUUCUGGCCAUCCUUGGUAAGAUCCUUUUUGGCAUUAAGUUGUCGGGAAGGGGAUGACCAUCGUUUACUGUGAAAAAAUUAGAGUGUUUAAAGCAGGCUUAUGCCGUUGAAUAUAUUAGCAUGGAAUAAUAAGAUAGGACUUUGAGUCUAUUUUGUUGGUUUGCGAGUCAAAGUAAUGAUUAAUAGGGACAGUUGGGGGUAUUCGUAUUUCAUUGUCAGAGGUGAAAUUCUUGGAUUUCUGAAAGACGAACUACUGCGAAAGCAUUUACCAAGGAUGUUUUCAUCG